GUCGAACGGAGCUGUUUUCUCUGAGUUUUCGGAUGGAAGAGAGUUCAGCUUAGUGGCGAACGGGUGAGUAACACGUGAGCAACCUGCCUUUCAGUGGGGGACAACAUUUGGAAACGAAUGCUAAUACCGCAUAAGACCACAGUGUCGCAUGGCACAGGGGUCAAAGGAUUUAUCCGCUGAAAGAUGGGCUCGCGUCCGAUUAGCUAGAUGGUGAGGUAACGGCCCACCAUGGCGACGAUCGGUAGCCGGACUGAGAGGUUGAACGGCCACAUUGGGACUGAGACACGGCCCAGACUCCUACGGGAGGCAGCAGUGGGGAAUAUUGCACAAUGGGGGAAACCCUGAUGCAGCGACGCCGCGUGGAGGAAGAAGGUCUUCGGAUUGUAAACUCCUGUCCCAGGGGACGAUAAUGACGGUACCCUGGGAGGAAGCACCGGCUAACUACGUGCCAGCAGCCGCGGUAAAACGUAGGGUGCAAGCGUUGUCCGGAAUUACUGGGUGUAAAGGGAGCGCAGGCGGAUUGGCAAGUUGGGAGUGAAAUCUAUGGGCUCAACCCAUAAAUUGCUUUCAAAACUGUCAGUCUUGAGUGGUGUAGAGGUAGGCGGAAUUCCCGGUGUAGCGGUGGAAUGCGUAGAUAUCGGGAGGAACACCAGUGGCGAAGCGGCCUACUGGGCACUAACUGACGCU
This 687-nucleotide ribosomal RNA is filed under the name uncultured bacterium. Its description in RNAcentral is "bacterial SSU rRNA". It matches the Rfam family "Bacterial small subunit ribosomal RNA", at positions 61 to 747 of the family's 1533-position model. The record is from RNAcentral.